GUGAAUCAUCGAAUUUUUGAACGCAAAUUGCACUCUCUUCGAAGAGGAUGCCUGUUUGAGGGUCAGUAUUAAUAAAAAUCGGUGUGUUGCUUCUUUGUGACUCUCCGGGGUUUGGGUCAUCUUAAUAUCCUAUCGGUUUUAGGAGGCUUAAAAUUGACUUUUUUUUCGCAUUUUAGUUUU
Molecule: unclassified non-coding RNA, 180 nt
Filed under: Glomeraceae sp.
Lineage: Eukaryota; Fungi; Glomeromycota; Glomeromycetes; Glomerales; Glomeraceae
Description: partial contains 5.8S ribosomal RNA and internal transcribed spacer 2
Rfam family: 5.8S ribosomal RNA (bases 1-65)
Source: RNAcentral